UCUUUCUCCUCAAACCCUCUGUGAACAGGCAAGUGGCUGCGGGAGCAGUUGAGGAACUCUGGCCAGGGUUACUCUCCGGUGUGUCUCGGUGUGUCUCAAAGGCCCUCAGCCUGGUGUGCCCCCGUAGCUGCCACCCAAGCAGGCUCUUUGAGUUGGAUUUCUGUUAAAAGAAAGCUGACUAAUAUAGAAUUGCUUCAGAACAAAUACAAAACAUCAAGGCUUCCCGCUGAUCACUUGGGAAACCGUUGGCUCACCUGGUAA
This 261-nucleotide long non-coding RNA is filed under the name Bos indicus x Bos taurus (hybrid cattle). Its description in RNAcentral is "lncRNA (ENSBIXG00000001455.1)". Lineage: Eukaryota; Metazoa; Chordata; Mammalia; Artiodactyla; Bovidae. The record is from RNAcentral.